CGCAACAAAAAAACGCUGCAAAUACCAAAACGAUAUGCAAAGUCCAAAUUACGUACAAAUCCCAAAACACAUUUUUUUUAAAAAACAUUCCGGAAGUGCUCCAGGCCUCUAGGGGGCGCGCUAGGUGGAACAGAUUGAUGUCUGACCACCAGACAUAGAGAGAACGAACAAGAGUGAUGGAAAUCGGGAGGAAAGAAAGUUAAUUUAAGUGGAGAAAGAUAUAAGAAGGCUGCCAUGUUGUGUCCUUUCUGUGGCCAACAUCUGGGGACAGUUCAAGUGUUCUGUGGCUCCUGUGGCAACAUGUACAGUUUGUGGCAGAAGUUGAACACAACACAUCUGACAGCCCCACAGAAGAGGACCUCAUUCGGAAACACUUUCACGAUGGCUUCAGCUACGAUGACAUUUGGGAUUUUCUGGAAACUACCCACAAUGUAAAAAUGAGUUUGUGUACUUUAAAGAGUAAAUUAAAAAGUCUUUCAUUAUCAAGGAAAAAAAACUACUCCCCUCUGGCUAAUGUUCGUGCUGCCAUUCAAGAGGAGUUAAAUGGAUCUGGCCAGCAUUACGGUUACCACUCGAUGUGUCAGACAUUGCGGCAAAAGCACUCCCUUACUGUAAAAAGGGAUGAGGUCAUGAACUUGAUGAGAGAGCUUGACCCCUCUGGAGUUCAACUUCGCAGUAAUAGACGAUUUGUACGAAGAACAUACAGCUCUGAAGGACCCAACCACGUCUGGCAUGUUGAUGGCUAUGAUAAGCUAAAGCCCUAUGGUUUGGCCAUCAGCGGAUGUAUUGAUGGCUACUCCAGAAAAGUAUUGUGGUUGAAGUGUGGAGCAACAAACAAUGACCCUGGGGUCAUUGCUCAAAAUUACAUACGUUGUGUCACAGAGCAUGGAGUCAUACCUAUGAGGCUGCGUACAGACUGCGGCACUGAAAACGGCACAAUGGCAGCCAUCCCGUGUGCUUUAAGAUCAAGACACACUGACCAUUUUGCUGGGGCUGCCAGUCACAUGUAUGGCUCUUCAACAGCAAAUCAAAGAAUUGAAAGCUGGUGGUCGUACUUCAGAAAACAGAGGUCUCAAUUUUGGAUGGAUCUCAUGAAUGACCUGAGAGAAAAACAUCACUUCAGUGGCAGUCAUGUGCACACAUGCCUAGUGCGGUUUGUCUUCAUGGGUGUGCUACAGAGGGACCUUGACGAAUGCAGGGAAAAGUGGAACACGCAUAUCAUCAGACCUGUAAACCAGUCUCGUUGUCGAUAAGGGAAACCAGAUGUCAUGUACAACCUGCCACACAGGUACGGUGGAACUGACUGUGGGUUCCCAGUCCCACAAGACGACUUGGGCCAGUUUGUUCUGGACUCGACCAACAGUCCAUGUGGAGACGACCACUUCCAGGAACACUUUGAGAACCUUCAAAGAACGAGUGGUCUAAUGCAACCCUUGACCUGGGAGUCUUGUGUUGCGAACUAUAUAACUAUGAAGAACAUGGCUAAUUUGUAAAUUGUAAGCCCAGCUUUCAAUAAAGUCCAAAACCAGGCGAA
Molecule: long non-coding RNA, 1534 nt
Organism: Gymnodraco acuticeps
Lineage: Eukaryota; Metazoa; Chordata; Actinopteri; Perciformes; Bathydraconidae
Exons: 5
Source: RefSeq, a predicted model, not a curated record